GACGAACGCUGGCGGCGUGCUUAACACAUGCAAGUCGAACGGUGAAGCGCCUUCCUUUUUGGUGGGUGUGGAUGAGUGGCGAACGGGUGAGUAACACGUGAGUAACCUGCCCCCUUCUUCUGGAUAACCGCAUGAAAGUGUGGCUAAUACGGGAUAUUCUGGGUCUGUCGCAUGAUGGGUCUGGGAAAGAUAUUGUUUCGGUGGGGGAUGGGCUCGCGGCCUAUCAGCUUGUUGGUGGGGUGAUGGCCUACCAAGGCGGUGACGGGUAGCCGGCCUGAGAGGGUGGACGGUCACACUGGGACGGAGACACGGCCCCGACUCCUACGGGAGGCAGCAGUGGGGAAUAUUGCACAAUGGGCGCAAGCCUGAUGCAGCGACGCCGCGUGAGGGAUGGAGGCCUUCGGGUUGUGAACCUCUUUCGCCAGUGAAGCAGGCCUGCCUCGUUUGUGGGUGGGUUGACGGUAGCUGGAUAAGAAGCGCCGGCUAACUACGUG
RNAcentral lists this ribosomal RNA (494 nucleotides) under uncultured bacterium. RNAcentral describes it as "partial 16S ribosomal RNA". It matches the Rfam family "Bacterial small subunit ribosomal RNA", at positions 28 to 507 of the family's 1533-position model. The record is from RNAcentral.